CCCCCGAGCGCCUCCAGGGGAGUUCGCUCCGGGACCAG
This 38-nucleotide unclassified non-coding RNA is filed under the name Sorangium cellulosum So ce56. RNAcentral describes it as "sce_s2m_88". The record is from RNAcentral. Lineage: Bacteria; Pseudomonadati; Myxococcota; Polyangiales; Polyangiaceae.